UGCUCUGAGCUGCUGCCACCUGCUGGGCUGGAGCUGGAGCUGGAGCUGCGAAUUCGGAGUCCCGGUUCCCUGUGCCACCUGGCGAGCUCAGCAAACUAAAAGUCUCUUUGUCUUCAUCGUUUCCGGCACUGAUGUGAGCACAUCAUAAGCACAAGACCUGGACACCUUUACAAUCAGAGGUAGCAUCUGUCUGGAACUGUAUCUUGACUCUCACUGGUGCUUUUCCUUUGGUUGAUGCAAAGCUUUUGAAUCCUUUAGGGAGAUGUCAUUGUGAGUAUCUAUGAUACUAUGCUACUACUAUCUAUGAUCAUUGAGAGUAUCUAUGGUACUAUGAUACUACUAUCUAUGAUCAUUGGGAGUAUCUAUGGUACUAUGAUACUACUAUCUAUGAUCAUUGUGAGUGUCUAUGAUAGUCUCCUGUGCCUUCAAAAUCUUUGCCUUCUCCAUAGAACUUUCCCAACUAGCUUGUAAGAUCCAAAGGUGUGAGACACACUGAUCCAGAACAUUCAGGGAGUGUAGUGAGGGGAAGGAAAUAUAAAUUGUCUCGUCAGCAGUUAAUUUUUAUUUUAUUUUAUUUUAUUUUUUUUGAGAUGGAGCCUCGCUCUGUCGCCCAGGCUGGAGUGCAAUGGUGCAAUCUCAGUUCACUGCAACCUCCGCCUCCUGGGUUCAAGCAAUUCUUCUGCCUCAGCCUCCAGAGUAGCUGGGAUUACCGGCACCCACCACCACACCCAGCUAACUUUUUGUAUUUUUAGUAGAGACAGGGUUUCACCAUGUUCGCCAGGCUAGUCUUGGACUCCUGAGCUCAAGUGAUCUGUCGGCCUCGGCCUCCCAAAGUUCUGGGGUUACAGGCAUGAGCCACCGUGGCCGGCCGGCAGUUAUGUUUUGAUGGCCUUUUGAGAAUGGAAGCCUGUGUGGAUUCCGUUGUCUGCCUUGCUGUGGAUCCUGAAAGGUGUUCUGUUGGCACUGGGCGCUGAGCCAGGGGGCAGGCUGUGGUGGUCCAAUGUUCAGUUGGCAUAUUUCCACUUGUACUUCAGGCACCCAACUUCCGCCAUAGCCUAGGGCUUCAGUCUUCACCCUGAGAUCCCUGGUUCCAUCAAGAUGCUCAGCUCCAUUCGGCAACCCGCGGACACCCGAGAUCUCUUUUUAAUGGCAAUGUAUUACUGCACACUUCGUAUUGUCCUAAGUACUCUGUGCACAUUACUGAAGCUAAUCUUUGCAACAAUCCUCUGAGGAGAUACAGUACUGUCAGUACUCCCAUUUUAUCGAUGAGAAUACUCACAGGAAGGUUAAAUAAUUUGCCCAAGUCUCUCAGCCAGUAAGUGAAGGCUUCAGAACUGAAAUCUAGGAGGAAGUUCAAAGCCCCUGGGCCUCACUGUGCUAUACAGUCCAUUCCAAACCCUGAGUCAGCCUCCCUCUGAACGCACUUUUCCAAGUAUAUACAUAUGCACAAGGUACAUUUCCAAGGACCUCCUGGCUCUGAUGAUAUAAAUAUCAUCUCUAAUUGUAGUACAUCAAUAUAACGGAAUACCAUGAAGCCAUUAGAAAAUGGUACAGAUCUAUAUUUAUUGACAUGGGAAAAUAUCCACAAAGCAAAGCGAAAAGCACAUUACAG
Molecule: long non-coding RNA, 1612 nt
Organism: Homo sapiens (human)
Lineage: Eukaryota; Metazoa; Chordata; Mammalia; Primates; Hominidae
Gene: PXN-AS1
Product: PXN antisense RNA 1
Source: Ensembl